This 2547-nucleotide long non-coding RNA is filed under the name Homo sapiens (human). RNAcentral's name for it is "HSALNT0326857". Lineage: Eukaryota; Metazoa; Chordata; Mammalia; Primates; Hominidae. The record is from RNAcentral.
GUUCUAUAAGGGGAGCUUUCCUGCACAAACUCUUUCUUUGCCUGCUGCCAUCCAUCUAAGAUGUGACUUGCCUCUCCUUGUCUUCCACCAUGAUUGUGAGGCUUUCCCAGUCACAUGGAACUCUUUUGGGUGGAGGCCCAGAGAGCUCCACAAGGGGUGAUGUGUGUUUAAGAAACUCAGCUAAAGGAAACAAACUGAUUGCAAAGAACUCUGAACCUAGGGUGUUGGGGGAAAUGCUGAGCAUUGUAAUUGGCCUAAUGCUGCUCCUGUGAGAGAUGCCAUCUCCCUAGGCCUCCAAAGUUCUGGCAGGGAUUUUAACUCUUCUCAUCCAGCUGAUGACAGACAAAUAUUCAUCACUUCAACAGUUAGGUGCAACCCCCAAAAUGUUUCCUCAAGUCCUUCCUCACUGCAAAUGCCUACCAGCUCAUCUCUGAAGAUGGAAAAGCAAGCGUGGUGACAUCUGCAAAUCUGGACAGUGGGCUUUAGGAUUCAUCUGAAAAGAAAGGCUCUUGGACAGUGCUGGACCUUGCUCCCUGAGCCAGGCUGUGGGUCCAGUGGUGACUCAGGAAGGAAUGCCACUGACAAGCCACAGGCAUGCCAGAGAAUUACUCAGCACAAGCCAACAAGUAACCUCAUACGAGAAUCAAACGCCAGCCAAUCUGCGAACGCUUUGCGUAACAGCAUAUUUGGAUUUGGGGCUUAGCUUUCAGGCUUGAGUUUCACGUUUGCCUGAGCAUACUCCCAGCCUCCCAGGGCCCCUUCUGUGUGCCCUGCCUCUGAUUGCAAGUGCAGAGAGCAGUUCUCCCAAGAGCCAGGGCUCAGCUCACCCCUGCAGGUAACGCAGACCUCUGCUAGGGAUCAGCUGUCUAUCAUCUGGUGGCGCCCCUCUUUCCAGCCAGCGCUACAUCUUCAUAUGCCUUUUCUUACCAACAGGUCAGCAAUGUGGGUGACAGAUACUUCUUUUUGCUGUUGGAACACUUCAUAUUCAUCUCUGGUAUUGUCAUGGCCUUUGACAUACCUUACCAACAAGAGAGGUUUGUUGACUGAUGACAGCAGGUAUAACAAAAUCUAACUAGUGACAGUUGUAAGAAUUGGCAAAGUAUUACUGCAUCAACAGGUAUGUGGACUGUCUAAGAGCCUCAGAAAGGACAAAGAAAGAAGCUUACAGAUUCCGAUGCCCCUUACUACUGUAUCUGGCCUUUCUCCUGCCGGUAUAGUGAGAGUUGACAGUUUGAUGGAUUUAAUUUAGGAUCUAUGUUAGGAUGAGAUGCACUCUGUUUUCCUAAACAAAUUUGCUGCAGAAUGGCAGCCACAGUCUAGGGCCUCCUUGAGCUUGAGGCUAAAUGACCUGAUGGCCCACCCACUUCAUCUAUACUGCCUUUAAUAUGUCAGCAUUUCCUCAAGGCCUGGGUUUCGUGCACUCAGGGUGAUAUUGAACAUGAAGUUUUCAAACAGCAAUACCUUGGGUAACAGACAAGGGCUAGUUAAUGAUCUCAUUCAUAAUUCAUCCCGUGAAGGAACCAUUUACACUCAAACUCCAAGCAGGAAGAAAAUAUUCCCAUUAGGUAGGGCUUUUUAAAUGCCUCUGCCUUUGCCACAGUGCUGAGAGAGAACUGUGGUCUUCAGUAGUAAGGGCAUAUGGCUGCAAACAGAGUGCCCAGGUUAGAGACACCAAGAGCUGCAGCAUCACUCAGUAAUAGCUAUUUCAGAGGGAUGUAAAGCCUUCCCUGGGAAAAAGUUGAAUAGGACUCAGUGCCUAAACACAGCACUUUCAAAAAGAAAUGAAUCUCUAAUUAAACAUCCUGAAGACAGAAGCUGACAUGUCAUUGCAGAGCUAAUAAUAAGACCUCAUGAAAUGUUCAAAAGUUCUCCAGAGUAAGUGUGAACAAUUACAUUUCCCUCUCUCCAUCAGUGAAGGGUUACCACCAGUUCUUUAAGAAAGAGAAAAUGAAGGUUAGUAUCUGAAAGUAUUAUAUAAUGUGCUUAUUACUAUGCGUGGGUUGAGAUAUUCUCCAAAAAAAAGUUCCUUUUCCUUCCAGAAUUAAAAAGAACCCCUCUAACUUUUGUUAACUGUAGAUAGAAUCUUUUCUUUUUUUUUUAAGGAAGAAUCCUUACUGCAUGUCUAAAACUCGUGGCUGAGAAAAAGUAGAGGAUGUCCAGCCUAAGGAGCUAUCAGCAUUUUUUUGUAGCACUCGAUAUAGCUGCAAGCCAAGGUCCUCACGAAAGUGAAAGUUUUCAUUCAAAGUUAAAAACAUACUACUUGCAUUUUACAAGCUCAAGAGUAAAGCACAAUAAUUAUCAGUGCUUUAUUGGUAGUUCCAAGCCUCCAAAAAUGUCAGUAAGUUGAAUCUACACUAUCUUUGUACAAGAACAUAAAACAUAGCCUCGUGAUAAAAAUUAAAGGAAAGGAUAAAUUUGGUGAAUUCCCUGCAUAGUUCAUAAUAGAGAUUAGUCAACCCAAGUUACAAAGAUAAUUUUUGAGAUGAGGUAUCACUCUGUUGCCCAGGCUGGAGGGCAGUGGUGCCAUCAUAGCUCACUGCAUCCUGG